RNAcentral lists this ribosomal RNA (733 nucleotides) under uncultured archaeon. RNAcentral describes it as "bacterial SSU rRNA". It matches the Rfam family "Archaeal small subunit ribosomal RNA", at positions 141 to 874 of the family's 1478-position model. The record is from RNAcentral.
UGGGUAUAAUACCCGAUAGGUCUCGAUUGCUGGAAUGCAUCGAGAUUUAAAGCUCCGGCGCCUAAGGAUGGGUCUGCGGCCUAUCAGGUAGUAGUGGGUGUAGCGUACCUACUAGCCUACGACGGGUACGGGUUGUGAGAGCAAGAGCCCGGGAGAUGGAUUCUGAGACACGAAUCCAGGCCCUACGGGGUGCAGCAGGCGCGAAAACUUUACAAUGCUGGCCACAGCCAUAAGGGAACCUCGAGUGCCAGGUUACAAAUCUUGCUGUCGAGGUGCCUAAAAAGCAUUUCAUAGGAAGGGCCGGGCAAGGCCCGUGCCCACCCCCGCGGUAACACCGGCGGCUCGAGUGGUAACCGUUUUUAUUGGGUCUAAAGGGUCUGUAGCCCGCCGGAUAAGUCUCUUGAGAAAUCUGGCAGCUUAACUGUUCAGGUUUCAGGAGAUACUGUCUGGCUCGAGGCCGGGAGAGGUGAGAAGUACUUCGGGGGUAGGGGUGAAAUCUUGUAAUCCUUGAAAGGCCACCAGUGGCGAAGGCGUCUCACCAGAACGGACCUGACCGCAAGGGACGAAAGCUAGGGGCACGAACCCAAUUAGAUACCCGGGUUGUCCUUGGAGUAAACGAUGCUCGCUAGGUGUCCGGCGCGGUGCGACCGUUGUCGGUGCCGUAGGGAAGCCGUGAACCGAGCCACCUGGGAAGUACCUGCGCAAGGCUCAAACUUAAAGGAAUUGGCGGGGG